RNAcentral lists this long non-coding RNA (844 nucleotides) under Gallus gallus (chicken). RNAcentral's name for it is "lncRNA (ENSGALG00010014158.1)". Lineage: Eukaryota; Metazoa; Chordata; Aves; Galliformes; Phasianidae. The record is from RNAcentral.
AAAACAGGAAAUCAAGCUCAAGUGGGACUGAUUCCAAACACUGACCAAUUUUAUCCUGACUGCAAUUUUGCCUUGACCUUUCCUGACUAAAGCAAAAUGAGGCUGGCUACGUGGAGAGGUUUUCUGCAGUGUUUAUACUCUGUUAAAAAAAUGGUACUAUAUCCUCCCUGGAUGACAGUGAAUCAUAUAAAAUGAACCCUAAGGAAACUGUAUGAAAGAGAAAAUGAAGAACGUAAGUAGUGGAAGACAAAUCACAUGGAGUAAUACAGUUACUGUGAACUUCUCAUAUCUUCUCCUUUUAGCCUCCAAACAUAACACUGAAAUUGCUGUACAAGAAACCCCAAUCAGUGAGAGUAUUAUAUGAAACAAUGUGAAAGACAAGAACAGGCUUCAAAGUCAUGUUUCAACUUAUGAACUAUAUGCAUAGUAUUAGGAAAAAUGGAAUCAGUUAUUAUAUUAUUUGCAUGACAUAUCUUACCACAUGCUAGUAACUAAACUACUAGUAGCUAUUGUUAUUAGGUAUUGUGGUCUGAGUGCCUAUGAGCAGCACUGUCGAACACCGCAAGACAAAGUCUGUUUGUUCCUGUGAAGGUUUCUACCCUUUUUUGUUUUUUGUAUUGGUCUUUAGUGAAGUUGAAGGGAAGACAGAAAGGAAAAAAAAAGGAAAUAAUAUAUUUUGCAAAUGAAUAGGCACAAUAACUAGAGGAGGCACCUGCAGCAAAUCUUAACUAUUUUUUACUUGACUUAUCUUCAAGUUAUUUAGGACGCUGUUACUGCUCUUUGGAUGUCUAAGCAGGCCACUUUAAGCAUUUAAGAAAAUGCAUUCAAGUAGGAAAUGUGAGGC